AGUGAACGCUGGCGGUAGGCCUAACACAUGCAAGUCGAACGGCAGCACAGGAGAGCUUGCUCUCUGGGUGGCGAGUGGCGGACGGGUGAGGAAUACAUCGGGAUCUACUCUGUCGUGGGGGAUAACGUAGGGAAACUUACGCUAAUACCGCAUACGACCUACGGGUGAAAGCAGGGGACCUUCGGGCCUUGCGCGAUUGAAUGAGCCGAUGUCGGAUUAGCUAGUUGGCGGGGUAAAGGCCCACCAAGGCGACGAUCCGUAGCUGGUCUGAGAGGGGGAUCAGGCACACUGGAACUGAGACACGGUCCAGACUCCUACGGGAGGAGUCAGUGGGGAAUAUUGGACAAUGGGUGCAUGCCUGAUCCAGCCAUACCGCGUGGGUGAAGAAGGCAUUCGGGUUGUAAAGCCCUUUUGUUGGGAAAGAAAUCCAGCUGGCUAAUACCCGGUUGGGAUGACGGUACCCAAAGAAUAAGCACCGGCUAACUCCGUGCCAGCCGCCGCAGUAA
This 506-nucleotide ribosomal RNA is filed under the name uncultured bacterium. RNAcentral describes it as "partial 16S ribosomal RNA". It matches the Rfam family "Bacterial small subunit ribosomal RNA", at positions 29 to 523 of the family's 1533-position model. The record is from RNAcentral.